This 253-nucleotide ribosomal RNA is filed under the name uncultured bacterium. Its description in RNAcentral is "partial 16S ribosomal RNA". It matches the Rfam family "Bacterial small subunit ribosomal RNA", at positions 524 to 776 of the family's 1533-position model. The record is from RNAcentral.
UACGGGGGGGGCAAGCGUUGUUCGGAAUUACUGGGCGUAAAGGGCGCGUAGGCGGCCUUCUAAGUCGAACGUGAAAUCCCCGGGCUCAACCCGGGAACUGCGUCCGAUACUGGAAGGCUUGAAUCCGGGAGAGGGAUGUGGAAUUCCAGGUGUAGCGGUGAAAUGCGUAGAUAUCUGGAGGAACACCGGUGGCGAAGGCGACAGCCUGGACCGGUAUUGACGCUGAGGCGCGAAAGCCAGGGGAGCAAACGGG